AAAUAAAUGCAAGAACAUUUAGGACAGAGAAAUACACAAAUAAACAAUACAAUCGUACAUUUCAACAUUCUAACAACAAAAUAGAAAUAAACACGUAAAACAACAGAACAGCACAACAGAAUCACGAACUGUCCGUCACACGACCGUAUCAGCACCACACAAUUGACGUCACAGGUUAAAAUAAAUGUAAUAUAAUUCAAGAUCUAAUCUAUAUAAAAACGACAAACACUUAUAAAUCUAUGUAAAACAAUGUUAAAAAGACAACCACAACCUUUGACAAUAAGGUGUCAAACAAAACAACGCACACGGGCAUACUCAAAUACAAAACCCCUGCUGCCUAGAAAACGGCAUAACCAAACCACACAACAAACAAAAGAACUGGAAUGAAAACCAAUUUUCACACCAAAUACAUAUCAAAGGCGGAACACAUA
Molecule: long non-coding RNA, 431 nt
Filed under: Mytilus galloprovincialis (Mediterranean mussel)
Lineage: Eukaryota; Metazoa; Mollusca; Bivalvia; Mytilida; Mytilidae
Source: RNAcentral